Non-coding RNA from Cricetulus griseus (Chinese hamster), 424 nucleotides. Lineage: Eukaryota; Metazoa; Chordata; Mammalia; Rodentia; Cricetidae. The record is from RefSeq and is a predicted model, not a curated record.
CUUCAUCCCACCCUCCUGACAGCUAAUGACGCUAUGGACUCUAGCCAAUCACAAGGCAGGACAGCCGUCACGUUUUCAGAAACAGCCAAUAGAAGCAGGGGAAGGAGGGGCGGGGCCAAUAGGAACCGGCUGAGUUCCUGACGCACCCAGAGAGCAUUUCGAAACCUGAUGUGGGCGUGGCGAGAGAAAAGAGGCGGAGGAUGAUGGGAGAAGCUUGGCUGCGAUUGUGACGUGCGCCGGUGGCUGUUUUAAGCAGAGCACCGGAAGUCUUUUCCUACCCUAUCCUGAGAUGGACGCUGUUCUUGUUGGUCACUAAGCACCGGAAAUAACAAUGGGACCUUUCCAUCCUGCAGGCUGCCAAGCUGUUGGUGCUUUUCUCGCCCAAGGUUUGGUUAUCUCACUCCCGUAUGUGAUUUUUUUUUUU